This is a long non-coding RNA of Mesocricetus auratus (golden hamster), 798 nucleotides long. RefSeq lists it as uncharacterized. The transcript is spliced from 4 exons. NCBI's taxonomy places the organism in Eukaryota, Metazoa, Chordata, Mammalia, Rodentia, Cricetidae. The record is from RefSeq and is a predicted model, not a curated record.
CCCAGAGAUGACUGAGAGGCUAGCAUGGGACUGAUCCAGACAUCCUCACUCCCCCAGCCAGGGUGUAAGAGAAGAGGCCUAGGCAAUCUGUGGGGAGCUUUGGAGAGUAGAUCAGUAUUUAUUCCUGGCAUACAAUGCACUCUGGGAGCCCAUUCCACAUGAAGGGAUGCUCUCUCAGCCUGGACACAUGGGGGAGAAGCUAUCUGUGAUCAUAGAAUUCAGCUUGCCUGGACUACAAAGUACGUGAGAUACAGGCGGUUAUCUCCACAGUGAGCAAAACUCUGUCCACUGCUCUACAAGAACCUCAAGAAAGUCCUCUCUCCUACACCAACAACACUUCCUCAGAACCAAUUCAACCUUCCCCAACAGCCUGCCUUCUCCUUGUCACCAUAUCUUGGCCUACAAGACAUAUGGAUGCCCCAUGUUCUAUCAGAGGGCCCACCAACACCCAGUACCCAAGGCCUCAACACAGGUAGAAGCUCCUUGCUUUACUAGAGGCCACUACUGCACCCAGGAUUCCAGAAGACAUGCAGGCCACCAGAAUCCCAGGAGAGGCACCCUGCUGAACCAAAGGACACACCAGCUACCGGAACCACAGGCCCCUUGGGCAAGUAGACGAAAGAGGAAACAGAAACAAUUGACUUCUGCAUCUGUGCAAUGGCAUGCCUGUGCUCACAUGAAUAUGAUAAUACUUUAAUGUGUAAAAAAAUAACAGCAUAGCAAAAAUAGAGGGUCACAACCCAUUUUAUGGGUUGUUUCGUUAUUUCAGAGGAAUGAUGACACUGGGGUUGGGCGUGG